RNAcentral lists this ribosomal RNA (406 nucleotides) under uncultured bacterium. RNAcentral describes it as "partial 16S ribosomal RNA". It matches the Rfam family "Bacterial small subunit ribosomal RNA", at positions 30 to 526 of the family's 1533-position model. The record is from RNAcentral.
AUUGAACGCUGGCGGCCGGCCUAACACAUGCAAGUCGAACGAGUGGCGGACGGGUGAGUAAUGUCUGGGCAACUGGCUGAUGGAGGGGGAUAACUACUGGAAAAGGUAGCUAAUCACGCAUACUCUCCGCUGUGCCCAGAUGGGCGUAGCUGGUUGGUGGGGUAAUGGCUCACCAAGGGGACGAGCCCUAGCUGGUCUGAGAGGAUGACCAGCAAAACUGGAACUGAGACACGGGCCAGACUCCUACGGGAGGCAGCAGUGGGGAAUAUUGCACAAUGGGCGAAAGCCUGAUGCAGCCAUGCCGCUUGUAUGAAGAAGGCCUCCGGGUUGUAAAGUACUUUCAGCGGGGAGGCGUUACCCGCAGAAGAAGCACCGGCUAACUCCGUGCCAGCAGCCGCGGUAAUUC